RNAcentral lists this ribosomal RNA (367 nucleotides) under Acinetobacter baumannii. RNAcentral's name for it is "bacterial LSU rRNA". It matches the Rfam family "Bacterial large subunit ribosomal RNA", at positions 1109 to 1481 of the family's 2925-position model. Lineage: Bacteria; Pseudomonadati; Pseudomonadota; Gammaproteobacteria; Moraxellales; Moraxellaceae. The record is from RNAcentral.
GAAGCAGCCACCCUUUAAAGAAAGCGUAAUAGCUCACUAGUCGAGUCGGCCUGCGCGGAAGAUGUAACGGGGCUAAAACUAUGUGCCGAAGCUGCGGAUUUGACAUUAGUCAAGUGGUAGGGGAGCGUUCUGUAAGCCGAUGAAGGUGUAUUGAGAAGUAUGCUGGAGGUAUCAGAAGUGCGAAUGCUGACGUGAGUAACGACAAAACGGGUGAAAAACCCGUUCGCCGAAAGACCAAAGGGUUCCAGUCCAACGUUAAUCGGGGCUGGGUGAGUCGACCCCUAAGGCGAGGCCGAAAGGCGUAGUCGAUGGGAAAAUGGUUAAUAUUCCAUUACUUCUGUGUAAUGCGAUGAGAGGACGGAGAAGG